Molecule: ribosomal RNA, 480 nt
Filed under: Alteromonadales bacterium HD-O-03-9
Lineage: Bacteria; Pseudomonadati; Pseudomonadota; Gammaproteobacteria; Alteromonadales
Description: bacterial SSU rRNA
Rfam family: Bacterial small subunit ribosomal RNA
Source: RNAcentral
CCUUCGGGCCUUCCGCGAUUGGAUGAACCUAGGUGGGAUUAGCUAGUUGGUGAGGUAAUGGCUCACCAAGGCGACGAUCCCUAGCUGUUCUGAGAGGAUGAUCAGCCACACUGGGACUGAGACACGGCCCAGACUCCUACGGGAGGCAGCAGUGGGGAAUAUUGCACAAUGGGGGAAACCCUGAUGCAGCCAUGCCGCGUGUGUGAAGAAGGCCUUCGGGUUGUAAAGCACUUUCAGUAGGGAGGAAAGGUAAUAGUUUAAUAAACUAUUACUGUGACGUUACCUACAGAAGAAGGACCGGCUAACUCCGUGCCAGCAGCCGCGGUAAUACGGAGGGUCCGAGCGUUAAUCGGAAUUACUGGGCGUAAAGCGUGCGCAGGCGGUUUGUUAAGCCAAGAUGUGAAAUCCCCCGGGGCUCAACCUGGGAAUUGCAUUUGGGAACUGGCGAACUAGAAGUCUUGUAGAGGGGGGGUAGAAUUC